AGCGCCAGGAGCCCCACGAGCGCUGUGCCGCUCGCUCUGGGGGGAGACACUCUUCCCCAUCUCCAGAAGAGGCAGCUGUUUUAUUUUAUGUUCUCUUGUUCCCGAAGCUGAUGGCUUCCCCGGGAUUUCAGUGGCUGUGCUCUCGCUCCUUCCGUUAAGCAGGUAACCGCAGCACGUUCCUGCCCGCGGUCUCCCGGUCCCCCCGCACUCCUCGGCCGCUGAUCCCGGCUUGUGUUGAGGCCGCGGCGUGCGGGAGGAGCCACCAGGUGGCAACCUCUCUCCGUGCUGCUGCUGCGGGCUUCGGUGGCUUUUCCACCCUUCACUCAAGCUGGAGCAGACGCAGCUUUCUAGCUUGCUGCCUACCAGCACCGCUCAGCGCACGCUGGCAGAGCCGCGCCAAGCAUCGGAGGGGCAGCUUCUCGCUUUGCUGGAGGCACAGCAGCAGCUGCUUCAGCGUUGCUGACCUCGUCAGGAUCCCACCUCGUGCACUGACGUGGAACGAAGUAACCGGGGUGCUGGCACCGGGCAGCGAGCUGCAGGGCUGCGUGUGACAUAGGGAGCAACGUGAAGACGGGGUUGCGAAGCCUCGGUGACAAUAGCUGUGAAAACAGACGUGGCCAAAGGGUGUAAAUGUGCAGAGGAGAGGGAAUGCUGAGUUUGGGAUGAGCUGCCCUGGUUCUGCAGCCCCAACCACCAUCUGUUGCGCUGAGCUCCAUCUAGCUCAGGCCGUAGCUGUGCUCUCACCAGAUGUUAGCUUACAUGAGCUGCGUGUAAAUGUGAACUGGUGCGAGAGCUGUGGCCCGAUGUGCUUUCGGUAGGGUUUGACCUGCAGAAGUGACGACGUGCUAGCCGGCCUCUCGCUGCGGGGAUGCGCUCCAGAAGUCGCAGGGCUCUCGCUGAGGCCGCAUCUUGACUGCUGCGUCCUUCGGCGCCGGUCCUCCAGAACAGGGUGAGGAGCUGCCGUGGGACCGCCGUGGGGAUGGAAUCGUUAGCAAUUCCAGACCAUGAUGGGAAACAGAAGGAGUGAAGAAAAGCCGGGUGGAUCGAUUUAUUUAUUUAUUUUCCUCCAGAAAGUGGGAAUAAAGCUACGAGCCCAGAGCUGGCUGCUCAUGGAAUAUCUGCGGCGUGAUUGGCACUAAUGCUCUGCAGCCAGUGGGAGAAGAUACGUUACCCAAGUAAGUGAAAUGAGCACCGAGAUGUGGGAUAUAUGAUAACCUCUGAAACAGAAGGAAUAAGACCUCAGGCAACAGAGCUCCAAACAGGGCUCUGUCUUUUUUUCCAUUUCUGAGCCCGUGGUGUUCAAUUAACCCCUUUUCUCUGUGCUACGUUCUCCGUCCCGUGGGCUCGCAGAGCUUUGCCCACCCUUCUGGCUGAUGACACGUUAAACGCUUGGUUUGCGAUCAUCGAUUUUCUCCUGAAACGAUACCCAAAGCUGUGCUGUUUUGAUUUAAAGUGACUUCGAGUCUUUUGGUUACCAGCGAAGGACGGUCCCGUCCAAGAGAAUCUAACUUGAGGAAGCCAUGAAAUUUAAUUCAUUUCUGCAACUUAAAUGUAUAAUCAGUGACAUAUGGGAAUACUAAAUACGGGGGGAAAUGUCAUUGCUUAAGUAAAAUUUCUGCGUUCAGUCAAAACCCAGCAGUUGUAACAUCAAACUGCAGUUUCCAUUGUACAGGAAAUAAAGCAUCAUUUUUUCAAAGCAAAUAGACAUGCAAUUGCAUGCCUGUUAUGUUGCUUAUAUAGCUUUAUGCUUAAUUUUCUCCACGUUGCUGUGAGUAAAGGGCCAACAGAAGGGGAACUGGAGGGAGAAGGAACAACACGACGCACCGAGCCUGCUGGAGGGCGCACGGGGGAUGGCUGUGCUGGGAACACGGGCUCUUUCCCCGCUGUUGCCUCCGUGCCUGGGCCAGGGGCACCGCGCUCCAUGGGACCUUCCCCAGAGGGAGCUUUGCAGCUUAUGGUUACAUGAAAGAUUCUGAUUUUUUUUUCCGCCCUCCUCACCCCAGCAGUGUCUCCGAGAGCCUUUUGGCUGCUGCUUCUUCCGCUGAGCUCCAGCUCCUCAUUGGUCUCCGCACACAGCCCCUUCCUCUCUUUCUGUAAUUGCCUUGUUUGCUCCUCCAGCCUUGC
RNAcentral lists this long non-coding RNA (2124 nucleotides) under Gallus gallus (chicken). RNAcentral describes it as "long non-coding RNA NONGGAT008201". Lineage: Eukaryota; Metazoa; Chordata; Aves; Galliformes; Phasianidae. The record is from RNAcentral.